RNAcentral lists this ribosomal RNA (505 nucleotides) under uncultured bacterium. RNAcentral's name for it is "partial 16S ribosomal RNA". It matches the Rfam family "Bacterial small subunit ribosomal RNA", at positions 29 to 523 of the family's 1533-position model. The record is from RNAcentral.
AGUGAACGCUGGCGGUAGGCCUAACACAUGCAAGUCGAACGGCAGCACAGGAGAGCUUGCUCUCUGGGUGGCGAGUGGCGGACGUGUGAGGAAUACAUCGGAAUCUACUUUUUCGUGGGGGAUAACGUAGGGAAACUUACGCUAAUACCGCAUACGACCUACGGGUGAAAGCCGGGGAUCUUCGGACCUUGCGCGAUUGAAUGAGCCGAUGUCGGAUUAGCUAGUUGGCGGGGUAAAGGCCCACCAAGGCGACGAUCCGUAGCUGGUCUGAGAGGAUGAUCAGCCACACUGGAACUGAGACACGGUCCAGACUCCUACGGGAGGCAGCAGUGGGGAAUAUUGGACAAUGGGCGAAAGCCUGAUCCAGCCAUACCGCGUGGGUGAAGAAGGCCUUCGGGUUGUAAAGCCCUUUUGUUGGGAAAGAAUCCAGCUGGUUAAUACCCGGUUGGGAUGACGGUACCCAAAGAAUAAGCACCGGCUAACUUCGUGCCAGCAGCCGCCGUAA